GAGGGUAUAGCUGGGUGGUAGAGUGCAUGCUUAGCGUGCAUGAGGUCCUGGGUUCAAUCCCCAGUACCUCCA
Camelus ferus (Wild Bactrian camel) is the source of this 72-nucleotide transfer RNA. It matches the Rfam family "tRNA". Rfam says of the family: Transfer RNA (tRNA) molecules are approximately 80 nucleotides in length. Their secondary structure includes four short double-helical elements and three loops (D, anti-codon, and T loops). Further hydrogen bonds mediate the characteristic L-shaped molecular structure. tRNAs have two regions of fundamental functional importance: the anti-codon, which is responsible for specific mRNA codon recognition, and the 3' end, to which the tRNAs corresponding amino acid is attached (by aminoacyl-tRNA synthetases). tRNAs cope with the degeneracy of the genetic code in two manners: having more than one tRNA (with a specific anti-codon) for a particular amino acid; and 'wobble' base-pairing, i.e. permitting non-standard base-pairing at the 3rd anti-codon position. The record is from Rfam. Lineage: Eukaryota; Metazoa; Chordata; Mammalia; Artiodactyla; Camelidae.